GAAGUAAAAUAAAUUUGAAAAUGUCAUAUUGAUGACUGAUAAUGGUUUAAUUUAAUUAUAAACCUUUUUAUGAAACUUAAUUUUUGAUUCCUAUUUUUGAAUGAAGUAUUGAUGCAGCGCAAGAAGAUGACAGUCUUGGAAGACUAGUCAAUGAUGACCACAUCUAUCCAAACUGCAAAAUGAAGAGGGUCAUAGCAGAGGGCAAGCCACAUCUUUGUCUUUUUGCUCUGAGAGACAUUAAGGCUGGAGAAGAAAUAACGUAUGACUAUGGAGGAUCUGAUUGGCCUUGGAGAAAACAGGUUUGUAACUCUUGAAUUGUGUGAUGUAGAUUAGUGAAUGUGCAUAUUUGCUUUCAUGAGGAGAUCGGUGAAGGAUUUGUGUUUCUUUUGUGAGAUUUAUUCUGCUACUGGUUUUUUAAUCUGAGUUUUUUUAAAUCAAAUGACAGUGAUUGCUAAUGCUAAUAAGUUUGAAGGGACAAAUACAGGAAAAAAGCCUUUUCUUCAGUACAGGGACAAUAUACUUAAGCUAAAUAACCAGAAGUGUGUUCUGCCACUCUUCAGCUUUCCUUAUUCUUAAUUACAGUAGUAUAUUAGCAGACAUCUGUGCUAAAUUGAAAAUUUAAUAAUCAAAUAUAACUGACUUUUAGUUGUAUACAGAGACUAUUUAAGUUGCAUCAUCAAUUGCAUGUUUCCUGUAUACAUGUACUUCAUAUUGUGACUGAUUCAUACAAGUGUUAAUGCUGAUAUGCUAAAUACAGAUAUUGAAUUCAUUUGUCAGGCUAAAGUGCAAGAAACUGCAUCUGAUACACUGUCAUCAGAGGAGGUUCCCCAGAGUCCUUCCCCCUCCAAGAUGCAGGCUAAAGUGCAAAAUACUGCAGCUGAUACACUGUCAUCAGAGGAGGUUCCUCAGAGCCCUUCGUUCUCCGAGAUGCAGGCUAAAACACAAGAAACGGGCGCUGAUACACUGUCAUCAGAGGAGGUACCUCAGAGCCCUUCCCUCUCCCAUAUGCAGAGUUUACAAGAAGCAGGAGUCUUUCAUUCAAUGAAAACUAUAAAAUCAGAACCGCUUGUGAACUACACUGAUUCUGAUGAUGAGAGUCCAUCCAUAAGUCCUGACCAAUUGAAGUCAACAUGCCAGAUGACAAGACAACUAGAUUUGGAUGAGCACUUUGACUUUACAUCCGAUCCUAGUGGUGAGGAAUAUAUUCCUGGGACAAGUGAAGAGUCUUCUGAUAGUACAGACACAAGCAUAGCUCUCACGCCAGUUAAACAGGCAAAGAUAUUAAAACUUUGCAACCUAAAAAUGGAUGGUAACAAAGGUGAUUCACCAAAAAAUCUAAAUAAGUCCAUGAAGCAAAAGCACAACAGAGGGCGCCCACAAAAAAAAGGAAGCAACUUGGGUAGGAAACGUAAACUUCAUUCUUCAGACAGUCCUUCAACCAGUUGCUCAUCGAAAAGUAGAGGGGCAGACAAUCUAAACUCACUAAGUGAACUCAAGGACAGCCUACCUGUUUGUACCUCUUCCCCCUCUAAACAUGAAGUGAUUGAUGAUUCUGUCUUCAUACCUGGUGUAUGCAAGAAGGAAGAUGGGUCAAGAUUGUACAACAAAAAACAAUACUGUUUGUAUUGCAAGUCUGGAUAUAUAAAAAUGGCAAGGCAUUGGGAACGUGCUCAUCACAAUAAACCAGAUGUUGCACUGGCUUUGUCCUUCCCUAAAGGCUCCAAAGAAAGACGGCUACAUCUAGAGCAUGUAAGAAACAGAGGAAACUUUGCACACAAUGUUGAAGUAUUGAAUACUGGGACUGGAAAGCUUGUUUCUCGAAAACAACCAAAAAAGGACUGUUCAGGAAAAGAUUUCUUGCAUUGUGUAUAUUGUCAUGGCCUUUUCACCAAGAAAGUCCUGUGGCGACACAGGAAGAUCUGCAAGUUCAACACUGGUGUUGAACAAAAACUUGGUAAAACCCGUAUUCAGGCACUCUGUGCACUUGCUGUAAAACCGCCACCUGGUGUCAGAGAAGAGGUUUGGAAGUUGUUGAACAAGAUGGUCCAAGAUGAAGUAUAUCAUGCUGUUAAAGCUGACUCUAUGAUCAUGGAGUUUGGUGAGCAUCUUUGCAACAGAUUCGGACAUGAUGUUGCCAAACAUGAAUAUAUUCGCCAGAAAAUGAGAGAGCUCGGAAGGCUUCUAAUAUGCUCAAAGAAAAUCACUUCAUUGAAAACAAUUCAAGAACACGUCAAGCCCUCAAAUUUCAUGCAUGUCAUUAGGUCAGUAAAACAUCUAGCGGGUCAUGAUGGUGAAACCAAUACAUACAAGUGCCCAAGUCUUGCCCUCAAAAUUGGAUACACUUUAUCAAAAAUUUCAAUGCUUGUUGAAAGUCAAGCUAACGUACAGGGCAACAAGAGUGCAGCAAAAGAAGCUUGUGCUUUUCGACAAAUCUAUGAAAGCAGAUGGCAUGAAAUGAUAUCGGCUGCAUCCCUGAGAACAUUGCAGGAGUCUAAGUGGAAUUCUCCUCUUUUGCUCCCGUUUACAAAAGACGUCCAGACUCUCCAUUCUUAUUUAGAUCAGAAGCAAAAACAAUACUUGGAUGAGUUGUCCAAAGAAAGCUCCUCUCAGAUGUGGACACAGCUCACCAAGGUAACUCUGACGCAAGUCAUUCUGUUCAACCGGCGAAGAGCAGGGGAGGUGUCUCACAUGUCCUUAUCAGCAUAUUUGUGCAAAAAUCGAUCAAACCCUCAAGAAGAUAUGAAUGAGGCCCUCUCUGAUCUAGAGAAGAAGCUAUGUCAACAUUUCAGGAGAAUAGAAAUAAGAGGGAAAAGAGGAAGAAAAGUGCCUGUGCUUCUCACCCCAGCAAUGCAGACAACAAUAGAUCUGCUUGUCAGCAAGCGCAAAGAUUGUGGAGUUCUGCAGGAAAACCCUUACUUGUUUGCAAGACCAUGUGCAAUGACCUGUUACCGUGGGUCAGAUUGCCUUCGACAUUUUGCCAAGGUCUGUGGUGCAAAAACACCAGAAACUCUCACUUCUACAAAACUGCGUAAACAAACAGCAACCCUAUCUCAAGUUCUAAACCUCAGCAAUACAGAACUAGAUCAGUUAGCUGGUUUUCUUGGACAUGACAUACGAAUACACAGGCAGUUCUACAGACUUCCUGAGGGCACCCUCCAGCUUGCCAAAAUUAGCAAAGUCCUUUUGGCUCUGGAACAGGGACGCAUGACAGAAUUCAAGGGCAAAAGCCUUGAUGACAUCAUCAUUAAUCCAGAGGGUACUGUCUUUAGAUUUUUUUAA
Molecule: long non-coding RNA, 3279 nt
Filed under: Betta splendens (Siamese fighting fish)
Lineage: Eukaryota; Metazoa; Chordata; Actinopteri; Anabantiformes; Osphronemidae
Description: lncRNA (ENSBSLG00000005432.1)
Source: RNAcentral